RNAcentral lists this ribosomal RNA (882 nucleotides) under Triticum aestivum (bread wheat). RNAcentral describes it as "partial small subunit ribosomal RNA". Lineage: Eukaryota; Viridiplantae; Streptophyta; Magnoliopsida; Poales; Poaceae. The record is from RNAcentral.
AUGCCGAUCUGCCCGGCGCCGUCGGAGUCCUCGGGCUCCGGGAGCCGCGUGUGGAUCUUCCACGGGCUGGCGCUCGGCGCGGCGGCGGCCGCCACCGCGGCCGCCUACGUGUACCGCCGGCCCCGCGGGUUCCGCAGCCUGGCGGUGGGCAUCAUCCCCGCGCGCUACGCCUCCUCCCGCUUCGACGGCAAGCCGCUCGCCCUCAUCCUCGGCAAGCCCAUGAUACAGAGAACCUGGGAAAGAGUUAUGCUAGCUUCUUCAUUAAACCAUGUUGUUGUGGCAACGGAUGAUGAGAAAAUUGCUGAGUGCUGUAGAGGAUUUGGAGCUGAUGUUAUAAUGACAUCAGUAUCAUGCCAAAAUGGAUCUGAGCGCUGCUGUGAGGCACUUCAAAAGCUCAGGAAACAUUAUGACAUUGUUGUCAAUAUUCAAGGGGAUGAGCCUCUUAUUGAACCAGAUAUCAUAGACGGUGUGGUUAUGGCAUUGCAGCGAGCUCCUGAUGCAGUCUUCAGCACAGCUGCCACGGCACUAAAACCUGAAGAUGCAUUUGACACAAACCGAGUGAAGUGUGUAGUAGACAACCAGGGUUAUGCAAUAUACUUCUCAAGAGGGCUGAUCCCAUUUAACAAAUCAGGGAAAGUCAAUCCUCACUUUCCAUAUCUUCUUCAUCUUGGAAUUUCGGGCUUUGAUUCGAAGUUUCUGAAGAUCUAUCCACAGCUUGCACCAACCCCACUGCAACUAGAAGAGGACCUGGAGCAACUUAAAGUUCUUGAGAAUGGCUACAAGAUGAAGGUUAUCAAGGUGGACCAUGAUGCCCAUGGUGUGGAUGCGCCCGAAGACGUUGAGAAAAUAGAAGCAUUGAUGCGGGCAAGGAACAUCCAGUAG